CCUACGGGUGGCUGCAGUGGGGAAUAUUGGACAAUGGGCGAAAGCCUGAUCCAGCCAUGCCGCGUGUGUGAAGAAGGCCUUCGGGUUGUAAAGCACUUUCAGUGGGGAAGAAAGCCUUGGGGCUAAUACCCUCGAGGAAGGACAUCACCCACAGAAGAAGCACCGGCUAACUCCGUGCCAGCAGCCGCGGUAAUACGGAGGGUGCGAGCGUUAAUCGGAAUUACUGGGCGUAAAGCGCGCGUAGGCGGUCUGAUAAGCCGGUUGUGAAAGCCCCGGGCUCAACCUGGGAACGGCAUCCGGAACUGUCAGGCUAGAGUGCAGGAGAGGAAGGUAGAAUUCCCGGUGUAGCGGGGAAAUGCGUAGAGAUCGGGAGGAAUACCAGUGGCGAAGGCGGCCUUCUGGACUGACACUGACGCUGAGGUGCGAAAGCGUGGGUAGCAAACAGGAUUAGAUACCCGGUAGUC
This 464-nucleotide ribosomal RNA is filed under the name Vreelandella stevensii. RNAcentral's name for it is "partial 16S ribosomal RNA". It matches the Rfam family "Bacterial small subunit ribosomal RNA", at positions 338 to 795 of the family's 1533-position model. The record is from RNAcentral. Lineage: Bacteria; Pseudomonadati; Pseudomonadota; Gammaproteobacteria; Oceanospirillales; Halomonadaceae.